UACGUAGGGUGCAAGCGUUGUCCGGAAUUAUUGGGCGUAAAGAGCUUGUAGGCGGUUUGUCGCGUCUGCUGUGAAAUUUCGGGGCUCAACCCCGAACUUGCAGUGGGUACGGGCAGACUAGAGUGUGGUAGGGGAGACUGGAAUUCCUGGUGUAGCGGUGAAAUGCGCAGAUAUCAGGAGGAACACCUGUGGCGAAGGCGUCCAUCUGGCCCGUUACUGACGCUGAUGCGCGAAAGCUAGGGGAGCAAACGGG
RNAcentral lists this ribosomal RNA (253 nucleotides) under uncultured bacterium. RNAcentral describes it as "partial 16S ribosomal RNA". It matches the Rfam family "Bacterial small subunit ribosomal RNA", at positions 524 to 776 of the family's 1533-position model. The record is from RNAcentral.